UUAAUAAUGGAAUUUAAGUUAAUAGACUUAAAUUCAGUUAUCGCCGGGGCCACUCACGGAUUGUGUUUCAUGUUUUAGAUUUACCCAACAUGUGUGACGUUAUAUUCUGUGACGUCAUUUAGUCCUUUUUAGAAUUUCAUCGCAGCAAGCAAGCUGUUUAAAUUUUGUAAGCGGUAAACUUGAAAAUUGAAAUGGUAAAGUAAACUAGUGUAAGAAUUUGUAUGGUUAUAACCUGACUCAUGCUUCUAAUGUUUAUUAGAAGUAAUCUUAGAAAGAAUUCGUUUUAUCGAUCGUCAUUUUUUAACCAUAUUGCAUCGCCACGUGGAGAGCACAUGCAAAGACUGAAUGAGAAAUUGGUCCCAUGAAUGGAUUAUUCGUUUUCAUUUUUAUAAUUAUUUAAUUUUUACAAGUGUGAGUAAUUAGAUGCAACAUUGUCCUAAGAUUUGCAGAUUAUAAUCAUGUUUACCAUGCGUCAUUGUAUAUUUCUACAUAAAUUAGAUGCACGACGAGUUUAAUUUGUUUUUAUUUUAAUUUUUUAUAUAUUACUUUUUCCCCAUAUCUUAUACUAUUGAAAUUGAGUAUUGACAGAUCGUCUAGUGCCUAUGGGUAAGCCUAACAAAUUGUAUUUUGCGCUGUAACAGAUCAUGCAGGUUAGUAACGUGUCUUUAAUGAUUAUGUGUUGUGGGGCAGGUGUUAUUUAAUGAACUCCCGAAAACUUCCGAAUUAAAAGUAAAUUUUCCUUAAGAGGGUAUACAUCGGUAAUUGUGUAUCUAGAUCUUUCAUAGCACAUAUACAGCAAAUAUUCCAUGAAAGGAUAUGAACGUAAAAGGGACGUACUCUUUGGGGCGAAGGACCCAGGUUCGUAACCGGAAGUUCAACUUUCGAUACAAAUAAACAAAAAUCUUGGAAAUCUUGAACAGAGACCAUACCCGGAGUUAAGAAGCAGUAGCCAAAAGAAAUCAUUGCUAAAUGUUAGCUUGCUGGUGGAUUUAAGCAAAUAUUAUCAUUAUCUGUAUAUAUAUAUCCGGCUAUAAAUUUUGCGUGUACCUACACAUUUGUGUACUAAAAAUUGUCAAGAGUCGUUCAUCACAGUGACAUGUAUACAUUUUUUAGUUGCUACUACUCUCUAGCCUAGACUAGGUCGAUAUGGUAUGAAUAGUUCAGUUAAAUCAAGAAUUUAGCCAUAUGUAAACAGGCCACAGCUUGAAUUAUUGUUGUAAUAACUCAAUUAUAUACUAAUAUUACACUAUGUUACUAUCAACUGACUAUGGAUUUAAGUUUAAUAAAUAUAUAAAUCUGUAUAUAUACUAAUUUUGAAUUAUUUUUUUUAAAUUAUUGUAACUAUUAUCGACACAACUACAUGUAUGAGUAUACGUAAUUUUUAAUUGUUAUUGUUUCUUUGUACAGUCAUUUGGUUUUGUUAUGUCAAUGCUAUGUAGCAUGGUGGAACUAAUAUUUACUUUUUGUUGAGUUGUAGCACAAUGUUGGGUAGAUCAGUUAGAGACCUUGCUCGGCCACAGAACACGGCCAAGGGUUGUAACAGUUGGACCAGAGACUUGGACAACAAGGACACACCAGUUUUUACAGAUGGUUACCAGACUGGACUGGAUUCACGACUCAUCACGCCACUAACUCAAGACACAGCACUCACACUUCACGGACAGAACACGGCCAAGGGUUGUAACAGUUGGACCAGAGACUUGGACAACAAGGACACACCAGUUUUUACAGAUGGGUUACCAGACUGGACUGGAUUCACGACUCAUCACGCCACUAACUCAACUCCUUUGGUCACCUACAUUUGUACAUUGAAUCAUCAUCAGAUGUUAUUUAUGCCAACCCCUAGAGCUUUGCAUUGGUAUGAUCCAGUUGAGAAUUUUUCAGGUAAUCGUCAGAUUUACUAGUUAAAAGCAGUAUAUUACUUUUAAGUUAAACCCCCUCAUGUACAAAAUGUACAUGUGAUUACAACAUAUAACAAAC
RNAcentral lists this long non-coding RNA (1980 nucleotides) under Mytilus galloprovincialis (Mediterranean mussel). The record is from RNAcentral. Lineage: Eukaryota; Metazoa; Mollusca; Bivalvia; Mytilida; Mytilidae.